This 1402-nucleotide ribosomal RNA is filed under the name Massilia sp. RHLT3-10. RNAcentral's name for it is "bacterial SSU rRNA". It matches the Rfam family "Bacterial small subunit ribosomal RNA". Lineage: Bacteria; Pseudomonadati; Pseudomonadota; Betaproteobacteria; Burkholderiales; Oxalobacteraceae. The record is from RNAcentral.
UGCAAGUCGAACGGCAGCGCGGGGCAACCUGGCGGCGAGUGGCGAACGGGUGAGUAAUAUAUCGGAACGUACCCUGGAGUGGGGGAUAACGUAGCGAAAGUUACGCUAAUACCGCAUACGAUCUAAGGAUGAAAGUGGGGGAUUCGCAAGAACCUCAUGCUCCUGGAGCGGCCGAUAUCUGAUUAGCUAGUUGGUGGGGUAAAGGCCUACCAAGGCAUCGAUCAGUAGCUGGUCUGAGAGGACGACCAGCCACACUGGAACUGAGACACGGUCCAGACUCCUACGGGAGGCAGCAGUGGGGAAUUUUGGACAAUGGGCGCAAGCCUGAUCCAGCAAUGCCGCGUGAGUGAAGAAGGCCUUCGGGUUGUAAAGCUCUUUUGUCAGGGAAGAAACGGUGGGAGCUAAUAUCUCCUGCUAAUGACGGUACCUGAAGAAUAAGCACCGGCUAACUACGUGCCAGCAGCCGCGGUAAUACGUAGGGUGCAAGCGUUAAUCGGAAUUACUGGGCGUAAAGCGUGCGCAGGCGGUUUUGUAAGUCUGUCGUGAAAUCCCCGGGCUCAACCUGGGAAUUGCGAUGGAGACUGCAAGGCUAGAAUCUGGCAGAGGGGGGUAGAAUUCCACGUGUAGCAGUGAAAUGCGUAGAGAUGUGGAGGAACACCGAUGGCGAAGGCAGCCCCCUGGGUCAAGAUUGACGCUCAUGCACGAAAGCGUGGGGAGCAAACAGGAUUAGAUACCCUGGUAGUCCACGCCCUAAACGAUGUCUACUAGUUGUCGGGUUUUAAUUAACUUGGUAACGCAGCUAACGCGUGAAGUAGACCGCCUGGGGAGUACGGUCGCAAGAUUAAAACUCAAAGGAAUUGACGGGGACCCGCACAAGCGGUGGAUGAUGUGGAUUAAUUCGAUGCAACGCGAAAAACCUUACCUACCCUUGACAUGGAUGGAAUCCCGAAGAGAUUUGGGAGUGCUCGAAAGAGAACCAUUACACAGGUGCUGCAUGGCUGUCGUCAGCUCGUGUCGUGAGAUGUUGGGUUAAGUCCCGCAACGAGCGCAACCCUUGUCAUUAGUUGCUACGAAAGAGCACUCUAAUGAGACUGCCGGUGACAAACCGGAGGAAGGUGGGGAUGACGUCAAGUCCUCAUGGCCCUUAUGGGUAGGGCUUCACACGUCAUACAAUGGUACAUACAGAGGGCCGCCAACCCGCGAGGGGGAGCUAAUCCCAGAAAGUGUAUCGUAGUCCGGAUUGUAGUCUGCAACUCGACUACAUGAAGUUGGAAUCGCUAGUAAUCGCGGAUCAGCAUGUCGCGGUGAAUACGUUCCCGGGUCUUGUACACACCGCCCGUCACACCAUGGGAGCGGGUUUUACCAGAAGUAGGUAGCUUAACCGCAAGGAGGGCGCUACCAC